UAAUACGAAGGGGGCUAGCGUUGUUCGGAAUUACUGGGCGUAAAGCGCACGUAGGCUGCUUGUUAAGUCAGGGGUGAAAUCCCGAGGCUCAACCUCGGAACUGCCUUUGAUACUGACGAGCUCGAGUUCGGAAGAGGUUAGUGGAAUUCCCAGUGUAGAGGUGAAAUUCGUAGAUAUUGGGAAGAACACCAGUGGCGAAGGCGGCUAACUGGUCCGAUACUGACGCUGAGGUGCGAAAGCGUGGGGAGCAAACAGG
This 256-nucleotide ribosomal RNA is filed under the name uncultured bacterium. RNAcentral's name for it is "partial 16S ribosomal RNA". It matches the Rfam family "Bacterial small subunit ribosomal RNA", at positions 521 to 776 of the family's 1533-position model. The record is from RNAcentral.